GCGCUGAUAGCCAAGCGGUUGGGCAAGUGAUUGCAAAUCACUUCUACAUCGGUUCGAAUCCGGUUCAGUGCU
RNAcentral lists this transfer RNA (72 nucleotides) under Aeromonas phage Ahp1_CNU-2021. It matches the Rfam family "tRNA". From Rfam's summary of the family: Transfer RNA (tRNA) molecules are approximately 80 nucleotides in length. Lineage: Duplodnaviria; Heunggongvirae; Uroviricota; Caudoviricetes; Pantevenvirales; Straboviridae. The record is from Rfam by way of RNAcentral.